UAAAAAUUUAAUUUUAAAUAUUUAAGUAGUAUUAGUUAAGUUCUUGAAAUUUAAAAAAUUUGGCGGUAUUUUAGUCUAUUCAGAGGAACCUGUUUUGUAAUCGAUAAUCCACGAUGUAUCUUACUUAAAUUUGUUUAGUUUAUAUAUCGUCGUUUAUAGAAUAUUUUAUUAAAACAAUAAUUUUCUAGAUUUUAUAUUUAAAAUAUAUCAGAUCAAGAUGUAGCUUAUGUUUAAGUUUAUAAUGGGUUACAAUUUUUUUAUUAUUGGAAAUAAUUUUGAAAUUAAUUAUUAAAAUUGGAUUUGAUAGUAAAUUUAUAUAGAUAAAUAAGUUGAUUUUAGCUCUAAAAUAUGU
RNAcentral lists this ribosomal RNA (352 nucleotides) under Tomosvaryella sp. CNC Diptera 21230. RNAcentral's name for it is "partial 12S ribosomal RNA". The record is from RNAcentral. Lineage: Eukaryota; Metazoa; Arthropoda; Insecta; Diptera; Pipunculidae.